This is a non-coding RNA of Bryopsis sp. KO-2023, 2123 nucleotides long. NCBI's taxonomy places the organism in Eukaryota, Viridiplantae, Chlorophyta, Ulvophyceae, Bryopsidales, Bryopsidaceae. The record is from the annotation of a GenBank genome assembly.
UGCUAGAAUACGGGGGUCCACCCCCUAAGGCAUAGGGUAAUUUCUCUGACCGAUAGUGCACUAGUACCGUGAGGGAAAGGUGAAAAGAACCCGUAAUGGGAGUGAAAAAGAUCCUGAAACUUGGUGCCUACAAACAGUUAGAUAGCGUACCUUUUGCAUAAUGGGUCAGCGAGUUAAUUCAUAAAGCAUGCUUAAACCGGUAGGCGGAGGCAAAGAUAAGCACGAGGAAAGGCCAAUCAAACUCGGAGAUAGCUGGUUUUUUGCGAAAUCUAUUGAGGUAGAGCGUAACACAUACGUUCUAGGGGGUAGAGCACUCAAUGGGCUAGGGUGGCCCAAAGCCUUACUGAUCCCAACGAAACUCCGAAUACCUAGAUCGUUCUGUUGCAGACAGACUCGGGGUGCUAAGGUCCCGGGUCGAGAGGGAAAAAGCCCAGACCAUUCGCUAAGGUCCUAAAGCAAUGGUAGCAAAACGUUCUGUUGUUCUCCGAAGGUAAAUCGCAAGAUUCUAGUAUUCUGGAGAAAUCAGAAGUGAGAAUGCUGACAUGAGUAACGUUAAAUCAUGUAGAGUCAUGAUCGCCGAAAGUUCUCGGUUUUCCGCGCACCGCAUACCGACGCGGGGUUAAUCGGCCCCUAAAAUACACCGUACUUAAACCGACACUGGUGAACUGGUUGAGAAAACUUAGGCGAUGGGAGAACCAUGUUGAAGGAACUCGGCAAAAUGCCUUCGUAACCUCGGGAUAAGGAGGGCCUUUUUUCCACAAAACAAAAAAAGGUGGCACAGAAUCGGGAGCAGCGACAGUUUAUUAAAAACCCAGGACUCUGCAAAGUGGCAACACGACGUAUUGGGUCUGACACCUGCCCGGUGCUGGAAACUUAACAGGACUUGUGAACGCGACUUCGGUCUCGGGAGCUUGGACCUAGAAGGCCCAGUAAACGGCGGCCGUAACUCUGACGGUCCUAAGGUAGCAAAAUUCCUAGGCGCAUAAUUGGCGUCCCGCAUGAAUGGUGUAACGAUUGCUCCACUGUCUCCAACAUGGGCUCAGUGAAAUUGAAUUCUCCGUGAAGAUGCGGAGUUCCUGGAAGUAGACGGUAAGACCCCGUGCACCUUGACUAUAACUUUGUAUUGAACAAACUUUUUGAAUGUGUAGAAUAAGUGGGAGCGCAGAAGCCCUAAAGAGUAACGGGAGCGUGCGAAGGUAAGCUCAAGCUGGUCGGAAAUCAGCUGUAGAGCGCAACAGUAGAAGCUUGCCUAACUGUGAGACUCACCAGUCGAACAGAAACGAAAGUUGGCUGUAGUGACCCACAAACACUGUGUGGAAGGGUUUGUGAUCAACGGAUCAAAGGUACGCCGGGGAUAAACAGGCUGAUGGUUCCCAAGAGUCCAUAUCGACGGAACCGUUUGGCACCUCCGAUGUCGACUUUUCGCAACCUGGUGCUGCAGAAGGUACCAAGGGUAGGACUGUUCGUCCUUUAAAGCGGAACAUGAGUUGGGUUUAGAACGACGUGAGUCAGUUCGGUUCCUAUCUUUUCCAGGUGUUGGACACUGAGAGAAAGCGCUCUGUCGUACGAAAGGAAUCAGAGUGCCGAACCUCUGGUGUACCGGUUGUCCCGCCAGGGGCACCGCCGGGUAGCUACGUUCGAAGCCAUAAUCGCUGAAAGCAUCUAAGCGAGAAGGGUGUCUCAAAACAAGUGUCAAGACUCGUGGAAGACUACCACGUUGAUAGGCAGCGGGUGUAAGCCUGGUAACAGGUUCAGCUGAGCUGUACUAAUGUCCGCAACCUGGUGCUGCAGAAGGUACCAAGGGUAGGACUGUUCGUCCUUUAAAGCGGUACGUGAGUUGGGUUUAGAACGACGUGAGUCAGUUCGGUUCCUAUCUUUUCCAGGUGUUGGACACUGAGAGAAAGCGCUCUGUCGUACGAAAGGAAUCAGAGUGCCGAACCUCUGGUAGACCGGUUGUCCCGCCAGGGGCACCGCCGGGUAGCUACGUUCGAAGCCAUAAUCGCUGAAAGCAUCUAAGCGAGAAGGGUGUCUCAAAACAAGUGUCAAGACUCGCGGAAGACUACCACGUUGAUAGGCAGCGGGUGUAAGCCUGGUAACAGGUUCAGCUGAGCUGUACUAAUGUC